CGAGCUGGCACAGACUUGAUGCGAAGCGACCGGCUGACAGCGGCGGUUGUGACAGCCUGCGAAAAUUCAAGGACGCGUGACAUUUAAGUUGACUCGAGGGUGCAAUUCAAAUGACAUGGCAUUGGGGAGGAAGAAUUUUCAUUGAUGAUGCUCCGAGUCUGCCUGGAGAUGACUGCAUUUGAUGCUGAAAAGCAUCCUCGUUUCUGCCACGAAUGUCAGGUUGUCCAAUUCUGCGCCCAUGAGAGAGCCCGUUUUCCUCCUCUGAAAUAAAUACCGUUUAAAAUA
Hippocampus zosterae (dwarf seahorse) is the source of this 285-nucleotide long non-coding RNA. RefSeq lists it as uncharacterized. The record is from RefSeq and is a predicted model, not a curated record. Lineage: Eukaryota; Metazoa; Chordata; Actinopteri; Syngnathiformes; Syngnathidae. The transcript has 2 exons.